Molecule: ribosomal RNA, 439 nt
Filed under: uncultured bacterium
Lineage: Bacteria
Description: partial 16S ribosomal RNA
Rfam family: Bacterial small subunit ribosomal RNA
Source: RNAcentral
CUACGGGUCGCUCCAGUGAGGAAUAUUGCACAAUGGGAGGAACCCUGAUGUAGCAACGCCGCGUGGAGGAUGACGCAUUUCGGUGUGUAAACUCCUUUUAUAUGUCAAGAAAAUGACGGUAGCAUAUGAAUAAGCACCCGCUAACUCCGUGCCAGCAGCCGCGGUAAUACGGAGGGUGCAAGCGUUACUCGGAAUCACUGGGCGUAAAGGACGCGUAGGCGGGUUGGAAAGUCAGGUGUGAAAUCCUACAGCUUAACUGUAGAACUGCACUUGAAACUUCUAAUCUAGAGUAUGGGAGGGGGAGAUGGAAUUAGUGGUGUAGGGGUAAAAUCCGUAGAUAUCACUAGGAAUACCUAAAGCGAAGGCGAUCUCCUGGAACAUUACUGACGCUAAGGCGUGAAAGCGUGGGGAGCAAACAGGAUUAGAUACCCCGGUAGUC